RNAcentral lists this non-coding RNA (31 nucleotides) under Mus musculus (house mouse). The record is from RNAcentral. Lineage: Eukaryota; Metazoa; Chordata; Mammalia; Rodentia; Muridae.
UAAAAUGAUCUUGCCUAACUUUCUCUGGCAC